Molecule: long non-coding RNA, 1354 nt
Organism: Dunckerocampus dactyliophorus (ringed pipefish)
Lineage: Eukaryota; Metazoa; Chordata; Actinopteri; Syngnathiformes; Syngnathidae
Exons: 3
Source: RefSeq, a predicted model, not a curated record
UACAGGGUUAUAAUCCAAGCACCUCGAUAAAACACACUCUUCCUCAUUUUCCUCCUUUUUUUAUCGUUCCCACGAAGGUAGUCCAAAUCCAGUCCAGUUCAUGGUGAAGAUGUCGCGGAUUUGGCCGCCAAUGCCUGAAUUGCUGAUAAACAUUUGAUUUUGAACGCGUCCCCUUUUUUCUCCUGUCCUCUCUUUUGGUGCCUCCUCCCCUUUCUUUAAGGCUAGUUUUGGCUACGCUGCUAGCGCCGAGAAAAUAUUGCAACGCGCAGAGACAGCCAAGCGAUUCCCCCAACACACACACAUACAUACAUACACACGCGGCGGAGAAAUCCCUAAUUUACAAGUUUGUUCUUUGCAUGUAAAUAGCAAGCGCCAUUACCACUACUAGCACCCCUCCUCCUCCUCUGUUAGCAUGCUAGCAGCAGAUGCUAGCUGUCAGCAACGACGCAUACAAAUAAAAUUCCCUUUAUUUCACUUAACUUCCCGUGUUUAGGCCUUCUUCUUGAAUUGAAAGGAAACGCUCACACACAAAGACCGAGACAAGAGUGAUAAAAAUAGCCCGUAGAGAAAGUAGGCCGCGUUUUUUGUUAUAUGUAUCUUUACACAUUUUCAUCCAGAGACGCCAUUUUUGAAGGCGGCUGUCCGUACUCCCCUCUCCUCUCCUCGUAGGGCUCUCUUCUCGGCUCAGUGUCCGCGCUGACCUCCCCUACGCUACCCCGGCUCCUCUGCUAACCAGCCCGGCGUGCUUUUCCACAUUUCCUCCACAUUGUUAGGCUAAAUAAACAUACACGGAAGCUCAGCAAGCCGUGACGUUGUUGUAAUACCGACAGUGGGGAAAUCUGUGCUAAUUGACAACCUAAUGUUUAAAACACUUCCACAGUCAAAAUCACAUGUGUCCAUUUUUAUUAAAUAUACCCACAGAUAGCUCAAUGUUUCUCAUCUUUAUAAAAUGCCAAACUGUACAAAGACCUUAAGAGUUCAUUAUGGUUUUUAUUUUACAGUAUAUAGACAGCCAGUGUCUGCCUAGAAGACGCCACAUGCAGUUCACAUGUGCACCAGUAGAUGGCACACUGGAAAACCACGACAGAGUAUCACAGAGAAGAGAGUAAAGGAGUGCAGAGACCUCAUAGACGCCUUCCAGGCCUGUGCAAAGACUCUGUCUGAAGGAUCGUGACACAUUCAGGAACAUCUCUCUUUAUGGAAUAUGCCCCAUUAGGAUGUGCUUACCAUCCCAGGAUCCUUCCAGUAUGUCGCUGGACUGAAACAUCUGAUACACAUUGUGCACUUUAUUUAAUGGCAACGGUGUUUUUGUAAAUAUGGUUAUUGCAUGUCAUUAUGGACGGUCUGUCUGUCA